Molecule: ribosomal RNA, 352 nt
Filed under: uncultured bacterium
Lineage: Bacteria
Description: partial 16S ribosomal RNA
Rfam family: Bacterial small subunit ribosomal RNA
Source: RNAcentral
CCUACGGGAGACAGCAGUGGGGAAUAUUGGGCAAUGGGCGCAAGCCUGACCCAGCAACGCCGCGUGAAGGAAGAAGGCUUUCGGGUUGUAAACUUCUUGUCGCAGGGACGAAGAAAGUGACGGUACCGGAGGAAUAAGCCACGGCUAACUACGUGCCCGCAGCCGCGGUAAUACGUAGGGGGCAAGCGUUAGCCGGAUUUAGUGGGUGUAAAGGGCGUGUAGGCGGGAGCGCAAGUCAGAUGUGAAAACUCAGGGCUCAACCCUGAGCCUGCAUUUGAAACGGUUUUUCUUGAGUGCUGGAGAGGCAAUCGGACUUCCGUGUGUAGCCGUGUACUGCGUCGAUCUUCGGAGG